RNAcentral lists this long non-coding RNA (758 nucleotides) under Micromonas pusilla. Its description in RNAcentral is "long non-coding RNA (MPUS_LNC000204)". The record is from RNAcentral. Lineage: Eukaryota; Viridiplantae; Chlorophyta; Mamiellophyceae; Mamiellales; Mamiellaceae.
AAGAUUCCACGAGCCGAAAUCGCGCCGUGUCAACCUCGAAGGCGAAUGCGACUUCGCCACUUUUCGGCUCGAAGCCUCGGAUUGAAGUUUUGGUCACCCUCAGCACAACCCUCAGCGACGUCCGGAAGUUCGUAGGUAUCCCUUGCCUUGACUUUCGACGCAUGUUUAGGAGAAACAUUAAUACCACUGCUGGAUGUUAUCUGGUUGUUGGUUGCCACGACAUCGAGUGGGAUUGUGCACGCGUUAUUUAUUAGUAUCUUUCGUGAUAUGACCCUAAACCCUGGAUCUCAGAAAUAAUAUGACGAGAAUACUUUACGAAGCUUUAGGUUUCGGUGUUGCAAAAAUGAAGAGCAGGUGUGAAGAGAUGAAAAGAAAUACAAGCGCCUUCCACUACGCAGUUGCGAAAAAUUCAAAAAGGACAGAGCUUGGGACCCUCUCGCGAUCGUCAUCAGUGAUAUAUUCUUAAGCGGGCUUCGCAAAAUUCUUCUUCGUCUCCGGGCCGAAUAACAACCCACAUAAUUGAAGACGAGCGUUGAGCUGGGGUCUUGGAUUAUCUAUUACGUCACUGCGCUGUGUUAGUUCGUCGCCUACCGCUUUCAUAAAUUCGCGGGUCGUUUCCUGGAGGUCACCCACACGUACAUCUUCAGCAAAUGCAGAGACAGCGGCAAAGGAAGAAGCGGAUAUGGCACGUGCAGUGGUUGCGUUGAAGUGAGAGUGGCAAAGCUCCCCAUCCCCGCACGAUGUCCUGUGCCCUUUCA